UCCGUCCUUUUACUAUGCAGAUUAUUUUUUUACGUGCCUGUUCCUUCCAAUAGACUGGGAACUCCCAAAGGGAGUUCUCUAUUUUUGUCUCUAUCUUGUCUCUAUCGGUCUUUCUGCCUCAAUAUGUAGCUCGCAUCAGCUGUCAGCUCCAAGCGGACUUUUAGAAAAUGUUUUGAAGGCAGCAGCGAGCAGCGGUGCUGCCCUUCAGCCUCAGCACUCUGUCCUUGUGAAGUCCAUCUCCAUACAAAGAGCUUUAACCAGAAGGUGCAUGCACUAGUGGAAGGAGAAGGCUGCUUUUUGAUUCUCCUAGACAGAGGCUGUGAUAAGCAAGGUCUGGACAGUCUGCGCUGCCUGGGAAUGUGCAGGUGACUAUGGAGACAGCGUGGAAGGACAAGAAUGGGCAUAUGGUCCUCAUUGGCACAGCAUAACAAAGUAAUUAAAAAUGUCUUAAAAUGCAGAAACC
This 463-nucleotide long non-coding RNA is filed under the name Macaca mulatta (Rhesus monkey). RNAcentral describes it as "lncRNA (ENSMMUG00000050679.1)". The record is from RNAcentral. Lineage: Eukaryota; Metazoa; Chordata; Mammalia; Primates; Cercopithecidae.